UUGCGAAACCGGGGGCUUAGCCUCUGGUCGUCCUAGUGUCGCGGCUAGGGCCUGAUGAGCAAGCGAGA
Molecule: non-coding RNA, 68 nt
Filed under: Brucella sp. 10RB9213
Lineage: Bacteria; Pseudomonadati; Pseudomonadota; Alphaproteobacteria; Hyphomicrobiales; Brucellaceae
Source: RNAcentral